UAGCUCAGUGGCAUAAGCACCUGCCUUGCAAGCAGGCAGUCCUGAGUUCGAUUCCCGG
This 58-nucleotide transfer RNA is filed under the name Cavia porcellus (domestic guinea pig). It matches the Rfam family "tRNA", at positions 8 to 63 of the family's 71-position model. Rfam says of the family: Transfer RNA (tRNA) molecules are approximately 80 nucleotides in length. Lineage: Eukaryota; Metazoa; Chordata; Mammalia; Rodentia; Caviidae. The record is from Rfam by way of RNAcentral.